GUUCAAUCCCCAGAACCAUACACACAAAAAGUGGUUGAGUCCUUUUUAGGCUGAGAAAGUCAAGUAUGUCUUCUCUUCAUACGGAAAGAUGACUCGACUGAUCCAUCUAGGAUGUUUGAUCCAUCGCAUAUGUUUGGGGAUUUUGAGGCAGUCGUUGUUUUGAAACAUUCCCUCACUUGCCCAUUUAUUUUCUCUGUGGACCCAGGAGAGCUCAGCCCAGGGAUGUCUUAUCUCCAGCCAAAGCUGGAAACAGCAGAUUAUGUAGCUUGGGGCUAACACAGCCACUGCUGUUUCAUUUCCUGGACUUAAAGAGCCAAGAAUGUUUGCAUAUCUUGCAUAUCCCACAUGUCCCACAUACCCCUUCCCUGUGGCUUCCCUCCUGCCCCUCCAAAGCCUGCUGAUAGUCUACCGUGAGUCCCUAUCUCUCCCUCUGUGCCUUCCUCUGUGGUGGGGGUGAUAUUUCUGUGGUCAGAGUUCUUGGAAAGCUUGCAUGUUGGAGGCUAUGGAAAAUAGGCUGAAGGUGGAUCAGUCAUUCCUUCGUUCAACCAACUCCUAUCAAAUGCAAGCAUGUAGGACUUACAGUAUUGGAGAUCCCUUAGGCACAAACCCCAUAGCUGCUUGACAUCGAAUUAGUGUUGUAUCACUGCCACCUGUGAGAAAUAAUGUAGGGGCACUUGGGCUGAAAGGUAAAAGAAAGCUAUCAUUGAAGCUGCUCCUUUUGCCAGGUAUGGUUGCACACACCUGUCAUCCCAGCACUUGGGAAGCUGAGGCAGGAGGAUUGCUGAGGGUUCAAGGCCAGCCAGCCUGUGCUACAUAGUUCAAGGCCAGCUGGACUACAUAGCAAGGCCCUGUCUUAAAAAAAAAAAAAAAAAAAAAAGGAAAUGCCUAGUACAGUCAUUCACCAGCCACAAUGUUUAAUUUUGGGGGGGGAAGUGGUACUGGGGAUCGAACUUGGGGCCUUGCACUUGUGAGGCAGGCGACGGCAGAACCACUGAGCUAAAUCCCUGGCCCCAUGAUGUUUUAUACUAGUUUCCUGCUUCCAGUUGUAAGAAUGCAAUGUUCACUUUCAUCCCUAAUGCCCACUGCCCAGUGAAUUUCAUACUCUUAUGUAUAUAGAAGAACUACUGAGAAGACCCUGGAAUAAACAACACACACACAAUUAAUAAAUACUCAGAUAAAUGCUAUCUGAUAAGAGAUGACUGGCUGAGCAUUUGUUGAGCAUCUGCUAUGGGCAGGUACUAUGUUAGGUUUCUAGGAGGCCCUACAACACAUGCCACUCCUCUUGCUCCACUGUCAGAACUCAUCGCCUACUGCCUACCACUCUGCCCCAGCUACAUCAGUCUCCCUGUCCCUCAGACCCGCCAGGUAUGCUCCCAACAAAGGGCCUUCGUGGAGCUGUUCCCUUAGCCUGGCACUUUCUUCCCC
RNAcentral lists this long non-coding RNA (1425 nucleotides) under Heterocephalus glaber (naked mole-rat). RNAcentral describes it as "lncRNA (ENSHGLG00000033654.1)". Lineage: Eukaryota; Metazoa; Chordata; Mammalia; Rodentia; Bathyergidae. The record is from RNAcentral.